GGGUUGUGAGGUUAAGCGACUAAGCGUACACGGUGGAUGCCCUGGCAGUCAGAGGCGAUGAAGGGCGUGCUAAUCUGCGAUAAGCGCCGGUAAGGUGAUAUGAACCGUUAUAACCGGCGAUACCCGAAUGGGGAAACCCAGUGUGACUCGUCACACUAUCAUUAACUGAAUCCAUAGGUUAAUGAGGCGAACCGGGGGAACUGAAACAUCUAAGUACCCCGAGGAAAAGAAAUCAACCGAGAUUCCCCCAGUAGCGGCGAGCGAACGGGGAGGAGCCCAGAGCCUGAAUCAGCAUGUGUGUUAGUGGAAGCGUCUGGAAAGGCGCGCGAUACAGGGUGACAGCCCCGUACACAAAAGCGCAUGUGCUGUGAGCUCGAUGAGUAGGGCGGGACACGUGGUAUCCUGUCUGAAUAUGGGGGGACCAUCCUCCAAGGCUAAAUACUCCUGACUGACCGAUAGUGAACCAGUACCGUGAGGGAAAGGCGAAAAGAACCCCGGCGAGGGGAGUGAAAAAGAACCUGAAACCGUGUACGUACAAGCAGUGGGAGCCCCACCACCAAAGCAUUCUCUGGUGUUGAAGGCCCUGCAAAGCAGCAUCGCGGUGGCGGAGCGUCGUUUGCGACGCCCAACACACAAAACAAGCGGUGAAUGCUUUGGGGUGGGGUGACUGCGUACCUUUUGUAUAAUGGGUCAGCGACUUAUAUUCUGUAGCAAGGUUAACCGAAUAGGGGAGCCGGAGGGAAACCGAGUCUUAAUUGGGCGUUAAGUUGCAGGGUAUAGACCCGAAACCCGGUGAUCUAGCCAUGGGCAGGUUGAAGGUUGGGUAACACUAACUGGAGGACCGAACCGACUAAUGUUGAAAAAUUAGCGGAUGACCUGUGGCUGGGGGUGAAAGGCCAAUCAAACCGGGAGAUAGCUGGUUCUCCCCGAAAGCUAUUUAGGUAGCGCCUCGUGAAUUCAUCUCCGGGGGUAGAGCACUGUUUCGGCUAGGGGGCCAUCCCGGCUUACCAACCCGAUGCAAACUGCGAAUACCGGAGAAUGUUAUCACGGGAGACACACGGCGGGUGCUAACGUCCGUCGUGAAGAGGGAAACAACCCAGACCGCCAGCUAAGGUCCCAAAGUCAUGGUUAAGUGGGAAACGAUGUGGGAAGGCCCAGACAGCCAGGAUGUUGGCUUAGAAGCAGCCAUCAUUUAAAGAAAGCGUAAUAGCUCACUGGUCGAGUCGGCCUGCGCGGAAGAUGUAACGGGGCUAAACCAUGCACCGAAGCUGCGGCAGCGACGCUUAUGCGUUGUUGGGUAGGGGAGCGUUCUGUAAGCCUGCGAAGGUGGCCUGUGAGGGUUGCUGGAGGUAUCAGAAGUGCGAAUGCUGACAUAAGUAACGAUAAAGCGGGUGAAAAGCCCGCUCGCCGGAAGACCAAGGGUUCCUGUCCAACGUUAAUCGGGGCAGGGUGAGUCGACCCCUAAGGCGAGGCCGAAAGGCGUAGUCGAUGGGAAACGGGUUAAUAUUCCCGUACUUGGUGUUACUGCGAAGGGGGGACGGAGAAGGCUAUGUUGGCCGGGCGACGGUUGUCCCGGUUUAAGCGUGUAGGUGUGUGUUCCAGGUAAAUCCGGUUCACUUUAACACUGAGGCGUGACGACGAGGCACUACGGUGCUGAAGCAACAAAUGCCCUGCUUCCAGGAAAAGCCUCUAAGCAUCAGGUAACAUCAAAUCGUACCCCAAACCGACACAGGUGGUCAGGUAGAGAAUACCAAGGCGCUUGAGAGAACUCGGGUGAAGGAACUAGGCAAAAUGGUGCCGUAACUUCGGGAGAAGGCACGCUGACACGUAGGUGAAGUGAUUUACUCAUGGAGCUGAAGUCAGUCGAAGAUACCAGCUGGCUGCAACUGUUUAUUAAAAACACAGCACUGUGCAAACACGAAAGUGGACGUAUACGGUGUGACGCCUGCCCGGUGCCGGAAGGUUAAUUGAUGGGGUCAGCGCAAGCGAAGCUCCUGAUCGAAGCCCCGGUAAACGGCGGCCGUAACUAUAACGGUCCUAAGGUAGCGAAAUUCCUUGUCGGGUAAGUUCCGACCUGCACGAAUGGCGUAAUGAUGGCCAGGCUGUCUCCACCCGAGACUCAGUGAAAUUGAACUCGCUGUGAAGAUGCAGUGUACCCGCGGCAAGACGGAAAGACCCCGUGAACCUUUACUAUAGCUUGACACUGAACAUUGAGCCUUGAUGUGUAGGAUAGGUGGGAGGCUUUGAAGUGUGGACGCCAGUCUGCAUGGAGCCGACCUUGAAAUACCACCCUUUAAUGUUUGAUGUUCUAACGUGGACCCGUUACCCGGGUUGCGGACAGUGUCUGGUGGGUAGUUUGACUGGGGCGGUCUCCUCCUAAAGAGUAACGGAGGAGCACGAAGGUUGGCUAAUCCUGGUCGGACAUCAGGAGGUUAGUGCAAUGGCAUAAGCCAGCUUGACUGCGAGCGUGACGGCGCGAGCAGGUGCGAAAGCAGGUCAUAGUGAUCCGGUGGUUCUGAAUGGAAGGGCCAUCGCUCAACGGAUAAAAGGUACUCCGGGGAUAACAGGCUGAUACCGCCCAAGAGUUCAUAUCGACGGCGGUGUUUGGCACCUCGAUGUCGGCUCAUCACAUCCUGGGGCUGAAGUAGGUCCCAAGGGUAUGGCUGUUCGCCAUUUAAAGUGGUACGCGAGCUGGGUUUAGAACGUCGUGAGACAGUUCGGUCCCUAUCUGCCGUGGGCGCUGGAGAACUGAGGGGGGCUGCUCCUAGUACGAGAGGACCGGAGUGGACGCAUCACUGGUGUUCGGGUUGUCAUGCCAAUGGCACUGCCCGGUAGCUAAAUGCGGAAGAGAUAAGUGCUGAAAGCAUCUAAGCACGAAACUUGCCCCGAGAUGAGUUCUCCCUGAGACUUAAAGUCUCCUGAAGGAACGUUGAAGACGACGACGUUGAUAGGCCGGGUGUGUAAGCGCAGCGAUGCGUUGAGCUAACCGGUACUAAUGAACCGUGAGGCUUAACCUUACAACGCCGAAG
Molecule: ribosomal RNA, 3029 nt
Filed under: Salmonella enterica subsp. enterica serovar Heidelberg
Lineage: Bacteria; Pseudomonadati; Pseudomonadota; Gammaproteobacteria; Enterobacterales; Enterobacteriaceae
Also listed under: 1 other name
Description: 23S ribosomal RNA
Rfam family: Bacterial large subunit ribosomal RNA
Source: RNAcentral